UACGAAGGGAUCUAGCGUUGUUCGGAUUUACUGGGCGUAAAGGGCGCGUAGGCGGUUAUGUAAGUAAGAUGUGAAAGCCCUGGGCUUAACCCGGGAACUGCAUUUUAAACUGCAUAGCUUGAGUGUUGGAGAGGUAAGUAGAAUUCCCAGUGUAGAGGUGAAAUUCGUAGAUAUUGGGAAGAAUACCAGUGGCGAAGGCGACUUACUGGACAACAACUGACGCUGAGGCGCGAAAGCGUGGGGAGCAAACAGGAUUAGAUACCCCAGUAGU
This 271-nucleotide ribosomal RNA is filed under the name uncultured bacterium. RNAcentral's name for it is "partial 16S ribosomal RNA". It matches the Rfam family "Bacterial small subunit ribosomal RNA", at positions 524 to 794 of the family's 1533-position model. The record is from RNAcentral.